This is a non-coding RNA of Podarcis lilfordi (Lilford's wall lizard), 72 nucleotides long. The record is from the annotation of a GenBank genome assembly. Lineage: Eukaryota; Metazoa; Chordata; Lepidosauria; Squamata; Lacertidae.
ACAUAUACAUAUACAUAUACAUAUACAUAUACAUAUACAUAUACAUAUGUUUUUGUGUGUGUGUGUGUGUGU